GGACUGAGACACGGCCCAGACUCCUACGGGAGGCAGCAGCUAAGAAUCUUCCGCAAUGGGCGAAAGCCUGACGGAGCGACGCCGCGUGAACGAGGAAGGCCGAAAGGUUGUAAAGUUCUUUUCUUAGGGGAGAAUAAUGCAGGGAGUGGAAAGCUUUGCAGAUGACAUUAACUGAGGAAUAAGCCCCGGCCAAUUACGUGCCAGCAGCCGCGGUAAUACGUAUGGGGCGAGCGUUGUUCGGAAUUAUUGGGCGUAAAGGGCGUGUAGGCGGUUUUAUAAGCCUGGUGUGAAAUACCACAGCUCAACUGUGGAGACGCGCUGGGAACUGUAAGACUAGAGUUCAGGAGGGGAAGCUGGAAUUCCUGGUGUAGGGGUGAAAUCUGUAGAUAUCAGGAAGAACACCGAUGGCGAAGGCAAGCUUCUAUCCAUGGACUGACGCUGAGGCGCGAAAGCGUGGGGAGCGAACAGGAUUAGAUACCCUGGUAGUCCACGCUGUAAACGAUGUGCACUGGGUGUAGGGGGCGUUGAGCUCUCUGUGCCGUAGCUAACGCGUCAAGUGCACCGCCUGGGGAGUAUGCUCGCAAGGGUGAAACUCAAAGGAAUUGACGGGGGCCCGCACAAGCGGUGGAGCAUGUGGUUUAAUUCGACGAUACGCGAGGAACCUUACCAGGGCUUGACAUGUACUUGAAGGCUUAAGAGAUUAAGUCGACCUUUAGGGGACAGGUACACAGGUGCUGCAUGGCUGUCGUCAGCUCGUGUCGUGAGAUGUUGGGUUAAGUCCCGCAACGAGCGCAACCAUUACUGUCUGUUACCAGCAGGCCUUCGGGCGCUGGGGACUCAGGCAGAACUGCCGGUGACAAACCGGAGGAAGGUGGGGAUGACGUCAAGUCAUCAUGGCCCUUAUGUCCUGGGCUACACACGUGCUACAAUGGCAGGUACAGAGCGUUGCGAGACGGUGACGUCCUUAGCAAAUCGCAAAAAGCCUGUCUCAGUUCGGAUUGGAGUCUGAAACUCGACUCCAUGAAGUUGGAAUCGCUAGUAAUCGCGCAUCAGAAUGGCGCGGUGAAUAUGUUCCCGGGCCUUGUACACACCGCCCGUCACACCACCCGAGUUGGGGGUACCCGAAGUCGCUAGUCUAACUGUAAAGAGGACGGUGCCGAAGGUAUGCCUGGUAAGGGGGGUGAAGUCGAAACAAGGUA
Molecule: ribosomal RNA, 1199 nt
Filed under: metagenome
Description: bacterial SSU rRNA
Rfam family: Bacterial small subunit ribosomal RNA
Source: RNAcentral